CGAGUCCAGUGGCGCCAUGGUUCAUCCGACGACGACGAUCAGUUCUGGCAGCUCUGCUGAUUCUCUAGCAGCGUCUGCAAUUACCUGGAAGGAUUCAGAGAAUAAUGACUCGUUCCUAAGAGUAAAGGCAAGUAAUUUUUUUCCUGCUUGGAUCCUAAUCUGUAUCUGAAGGACUACGAUCUGUACUCAUACCAGAAGCUCUUGUGCAGAUUGUAAACUUUGGAUCUGAUGCUAUUAGAGUUGCAAUCUCCACAGCUGGACUUCAAGCUACCAUCGAUGUGCUGCGAUCGACCGCUACUGUUCUCACAUCAACCGCUGUGAUGGACGAAAACUCUUUCAGUAACCCAAACAAGGUGAUCUGCAAUUUUGGCUACUGGCUAUUAGGGUUUGUUGUUUUGUUCAGCGCCGGGAAAGAGGCAGCGGUGGCACGGACGGGGUUCGAGCCUCCCUACCGCUAUCGAACCAUAGUCCCACUAGAGCCUCUCUAAAAUUAUAAAUGUGCAUAUAUAAAUAUAUAAUAUAGAAGGGGCUUCUGUAGUACAGUGAUUUUGGUUUAGUCGCUCCUAAAUUUUUCUGUCUCCGAUAGGUCUCCUUGCCCUGCUCAUCUGAAUCCAGGGCCCCCUGCUAUGCAUUGUGCAGGUCAUGCCGGUCAAGAGCCAGCUAUUCGACGCAGGAGCGCAGAUGCAAGUCACGCUGUCUCCUCACUCAUUAACAUCUUUCGAUCUUGCUCUGGCUACGUCGAAACUUGUCACGUUGUCUGAUGCCUGAACUGUGAUGCACAUUUGUCUGUAUUUGAGGAGAUGUCAGUGUAGUGUAAAGAGUUGUGUGCUGAUGAUGAACUGAACAAAAAUGACACUGCGAUCCACGUUUUUAUCUGUUUGGAGGUGUCCCUUUCAAAGAAAAAUUUGUGGAGAUGCCACUGCAAUUCCUAUUUUUCAUUCUUUGAAGAUGCCACUAGCAUUCAUGUUUACCUUUCUUCGAAUAUGUCACUAUAGUUCAUGUUAAUCAGGUAAAUCUUCACUAAACAUUUGUCGGAGGACACUAAAACCAUUCCUAUCAAGGGAAUAUUCUAUAUAAAAGAACACGUUUGUGCACAUAUGCACAAACUCAAUCUAGAUCCUUCGUGCAACGAUCGUCUACUGACUUUAUUUAAGAAAAAACACCUUCCACGCUCUUCUCAUCACGGCAGCUUCAUAUUAAAAAAAGAUUAAUUAUAUACAUGCCACUCAAUUUUUACAAAAUUAGACAGCUGGUUUAUUUUGAUGUCAUGGAGUGGCAUUAAAAUAAACUAACCGUCUAUUUUUUUUUAAAAAAAGAUAGUUGCAUGUUUCCAAAUGGCCCUUAAAUAGUGACAUGUAAUUUUAUUUUAUUUUAUUUAUCACGUAAUACAUAAUUUUUAAUGCAACAAAAAAUUAUAUCGUGUAAUUUUCAGGUGUCAAAAUAAAUCAGUACCAAUAGUUAAUUCUGAAAUAAAAAAAACUGAUAUGUCUGUAGGCUAAAGCUGUAGAUUGUUAUAGACUAUGCAUAUGAGAAAUAAGGCUGGUGGCAACGCGGGCGGUAGCGCGAGCGAGAGAGAGAGCCGCUACCGCCCGCGCGUGGGCGAGAGGCGGGCGAGAGAGGGUCGCCGGGCGACGGCGCUCACGCCCGGCGAGAGCGGGCGGUAUCGCCUCGCUCUCGCCCGCGCUGGAGCGCCCGCCCGGGCGAGAGGCGGGCGAGAGGGAGGCGAGAGCGAGGCGAGACACUGGCGGGGCGAGAGAGCGACGUGGGGCGAUCUGACUGGUCCACGUGUCGCGAUCUGAUUGGUCCACGUACGCUAGCCGUUGCAACUAGCCGUUUUUGACCGUUUGGAGUCCAAAAAAUUCGAAAAAAUUGCAAAAAUCACAAAUUUUAAUUAUUACGCAAUUUGUAAUUUUUAAUUCAAUAAAAAAUAUUAUGUUGUGUUUUUCUGAGCGUUGAAAUAAAUCCGCGUGAAUUACUUAAUUCUGAAAUAGAAAAGCUGAUGUGGCUAUAGCCUGAGGCUGUAGCCUGCUGCAGCCUGUGCACUGGAGCAGCAGAGGCGAGAGUGAAGGCGAGAGCUGACGUGGCAGGGGCGAGAGGGAGGCUGUGCACUGGACUCAGCCUAAAAGCGAAAGUGAGUGGAGAGCUGACGUGGCAAGAGGCUGGAGGACUGCACCAUCCUUACCGUUCGCGUGAAGCGGCCUAUCGCACCCGCGACAUUCAGUCGCUGCACUGCCGGUGGCGGUGAUGAAGAUCAUCGCUG
This 2260-nucleotide long non-coding RNA is filed under the name Zea mays. RNAcentral's name for it is "long non-coding RNA (ZMAY_LNC002165)". Lineage: Eukaryota; Viridiplantae; Streptophyta; Magnoliopsida; Poales; Poaceae. The record is from RNAcentral.